Molecule: long non-coding RNA, 222 nt
Organism: Alosa sapidissima (American shad)
Lineage: Eukaryota; Metazoa; Chordata; Actinopteri; Clupeiformes; Clupeidae
Exons: 2
Source: RefSeq, a predicted model, not a curated record
CAACUCUUUGCUACGACUGCUCCUAACUGCUACGUUGGUCUUUGUUAAGACCAGUCUUUAGAAUUGAAUUUAGGGCGACCACGCCCCCCUUCGGAGGAAACAGCGGUAAAAGUGACUGGAGGAAACAGCGGUAAAAGUGACUGGAGGCCAAUGUGUGAUGGAGCUUGGAAGUUGCGCCGCCAUAUCUUACUCGAUAAAUAAAUAAAGUUCACAUAAUUAGUU